UUCCAAAUACUUCUGAAAAACAUCUUGGAAAGAAAAUGAGCACUUUGCUUGGAACUCAGCAGUUCAAGGAGAGUGUGUGUGAGGAUCCAGACUCCAGCAUGGGUCAGUUCAGAGCAGGAGGCACAUUUUGGGCUGCAAAAUGGGUGUGGAACCACCUUCAGCCUGGGAGCCUCUCGAGGCAGCAGAGAGGAAUCACUUCAGGAGGCUCUGAGACUUGGUUAUCUGAAAUAUGAAAUACAAUAAA
Ficedula albicollis (Collared flycatcher) is the source of this 244-nucleotide long non-coding RNA. RefSeq lists it as uncharacterized. The record is from RefSeq and is a predicted model, not a curated record. Lineage: Eukaryota; Metazoa; Chordata; Aves; Passeriformes; Muscicapidae. The transcript is spliced from 3 exons.